UGUGUGUGUGUGUGUGCUGGAGAGUGAGGUGUGAACUGUGUGUGUGUGCUGGAGAGUGAGGUGUAAACUGUGUGUGUGUGCUGGAGAGUGAGGUGUGAACUGUGUGUGUGUGUGUGUGUGCUGGAGAGUGAGGUGUAAACUGUGUGUGUGUGCUGGAGAGUGAGGUGUAAACUGUGUGUGUGCUGGAGAGUGAGGUGUAAAGUGUUUGAGCAGCUGUUCUGUAAGAGAGGUUAUACUACAGAUUUGAAAGACAGUGGGAGGAGUUUAUCUGGGGGAAGGUGGUGGGAGGAGUUUAUCUGGAGCAGUGGUGCUGUAUUGUGUUAUAAACAGUGAUAAUAGGAUUAGAAUAUUGUGAUCAGAUCUGAAAGUCAGGAUAAUAAUAAUAAUAAUAAGAAGAAGAAUAAUUUACAAAUGAUCACGUUUAUUGUUCCUGCAG
Long non-coding RNA from Ictalurus punctatus (channel catfish), 436 nucleotides. NCBI's taxonomy places the organism in Eukaryota, Metazoa, Chordata, Actinopteri, Siluriformes, Ictaluridae. The record is from Ensembl.